RNAcentral lists this ribosomal RNA (484 nucleotides) under uncultured bacterium. RNAcentral describes it as "partial 16S ribosomal RNA". It matches the Rfam family "Bacterial small subunit ribosomal RNA", at positions 30 to 507 of the family's 1533-position model. The record is from RNAcentral.
AUUGAAUGCUGGCGGCAGGCCUAACACAUGCAAGUCGAGCGGAUGAAGGGAGCUUGCUCCUGGAUUCAGCGGCGGACGGGUGAGUAAUGCCUAGGAAUCUGCCUGGUAGUGGGGGAUAACGUCCGGAAACGGGCGCUAAUACCGCAUACGUCCUGAGGGAGAAAGUGGGGGAUCUUCGGACCUCACGCUAUCAGAUGAGCCUAGGUCGGAUUAGCUAGUUGGUGGGGUAAAGGCCUACCAAGGCGACGAUCCGUAACUGGUCUGGGAGGAUGAUCAGUCACACUGGAACUGAGACACGGUCCAGACUCCUACGGGAGGCAGCAGUGGGGAAUAUUGGACAAUGGGCGAAAGCCUGAUCCAGCCAUGCCGCGUGUGUGAAGAAGGUCUUCGGAUUGUAAAGCACUUUAAGUUGGGAGGAAGGGCAGUAAGCUAAUACCUUGCUGUUUUGACGUUACCAACAGAAUAAGCACCGGCUAACUUCGUG